UGUGAGGUAUGCUGGAGGUAUCAGAAGUGCGAAUGCUGACAUAAGUAACGAUAAAGCGGGUGAAAAGCCCGCUCGCCGGAAGACCAAGGGUUCCUGUCCAACGUUAAUCGGGGCAGGGUGAGUCGACCCCUAAGGCGAGGCCGAAAGGCGUAGUCGAUGGGAAACAGGUUAAUAUUCCUGUACUUGGUGUUACUGCGAAGGGGGGACGGAGAAGGCUAUGUUGGCCGGGCGACGGUUGUCCCGGUUUAAGCGUGUAGGCUGGUUUUCCAGGCAAAUCCGGAAAAUCAAGGCUGAGGCGUGAUGACGAGGCACUACGGUGCUGAAGCAACAAAUGCCCUGCUUCCAGGAAAAGCCUCUAAGCAUCAGGUAACAUCAAAUCGUACCCCAAACCGACACAGGUGGUCAGGUAGAGAAUACCAAGGCGCUUGAGAGAACUCGGGUGAAGGAACUAGGCAAAAUGGUGCCGUAACUUCGGGAGAAGGCACGC
RNAcentral lists this ribosomal RNA (487 nucleotides) under Escherichia coli. Its description in RNAcentral is "partial 23S ribosomal RNA". It matches the Rfam family "Bacterial large subunit ribosomal RNA", at positions 1262 to 1751 of the family's 2925-position model. Lineage: Bacteria; Pseudomonadati; Pseudomonadota; Gammaproteobacteria; Enterobacterales; Enterobacteriaceae. The record is from RNAcentral.